This 968-nucleotide ribosomal RNA is filed under the name Tyrtaeus sp. COL1086. RNAcentral's name for it is "SSU rRNA". It matches the Rfam family "Eukaryotic small subunit ribosomal RNA", at positions 31 to 942 of the family's 1831-position model. The record is from RNAcentral. Lineage: Eukaryota; Metazoa; Arthropoda; Insecta; Coleoptera; Tenebrionidae.
CUGUCUCAAAGAUUAAGCCAUGCAUGUCUCAGUACAAGCCAAAUUAAGGUGAAACCGCGAAAGGCUCAUUAAAUCAGUUAUGGUUCCUUAGAUCGUACCUACAUUUACUUGGAUAACUGUGGUAAUUCUAGAGCUAAUACAUGCAAACAGAGCUCCGACCGGAAACGGAAGGAGCGCUUUUAUUAGAUCAAAACCAAUCGGUGGCGGUUCGCCGUCAUCGUACAAUUUGGUGACUCUGAAUAACUUUACGCUGAUCGCACGGUCUUGCACCGGCGACGCAUCUUUCAAAUGUCUGCCUUAUCAACUGUCGAUGGUAGGUUCUGCGCCUACCAUGGUUGUAACGGGUAACGGGGAAUCAGGGUUCGAUUCCGGAGAGGGAGCCUGAGAAACGGCUACCACAUCCAAGGAAGGCAGCAGGCGCGCAAAUUACCCACUCCCGGCACGGGGAGGUAGUGACGAAAAAUAACGAUACGGGACUCAUCCGAGGCCCCGUAAUCGGAAUGAGUACACUUUAAAUCCUUUAACGAGGAUCAAUUGGAGGGCAAGUCUGGUGCCAGCAGCCGCGGUAAUUCCAGCUCCAAUAGCGUAUAUUAAAGUUGUUGCGGUUAAAAAGCUCGUAGUCGAAUCUGUGUCCCGCGCCGCCGGUUCAUCGUUCGCGGUGUUAACUGGCGUGCCGCGGGACGUCCUGCCGGUGGGCUUAGCUCGCAAGGGCGGCCCAACUCAAUCCCGCCGCGGUGCUCUUCACUGAGUGUCGAGGUGGGCCGGCACGUUUACUUUGAACAAAUUAGAGUGCUUAAAGCAGGCUAAAACUUCGCCUGAAUACUGUGUGCAUGGAAUAAUGGAAUAGGACCUCGGUUCUAUUUUGUUGGUUUUCGGAACCCCGAGGUAAUGAUUAAUACGGAACGGAUGGGGGCGAUUCGUAUUGCGACGUUAGAGGUGAAAUUCUUGGAUCGUCGCAAGACGGACAG